AUUGAACGCUGGCGGCAGGCCUAACACAUGCAAGUCGAGCGGAUGAAGGGAGCUUGCUCCUGGAUUCAGCGGCGGACGGGUGAGUAAUGCCUAGGAAUCUGCCUGGUAGUGGGGGAUAACGUCCGGAAACGGGCGCUAAUACCGCAUACGUCCUGAGGGAGAAAGUGGGGGAUCUUCGGACCUCACGCUAUCAGAUGAGCCUAGGUCGGAUUAGCUAGUUGGUGGGGUAAAGGCCUACCAAGGCGACGAUCCGUAACUGGUCUGAGAGGAUGAUCAGUCACACUGGAACUGAGACACGGUCCAGACUCCUACGGGAGGCAGCAGUGGGGAAUAUUGGACAAUGGGCGAAAGCCUGAUCCAGCCAUGCCGCGUGUGUGAAGAAGGUCUUCGGAUUGUAAAGCUCUUUAAGUUGGGAGGAAGGGCAGUAUGUUAAUACCUUGCUGUUUUGACGUUACCAACAGAAUAAGCCCCGGCUAACUUCGUG
RNAcentral lists this ribosomal RNA (484 nucleotides) under uncultured bacterium. RNAcentral's name for it is "partial 16S ribosomal RNA". It matches the Rfam family "Bacterial small subunit ribosomal RNA", at positions 30 to 507 of the family's 1533-position model. The record is from RNAcentral.